This 77-nucleotide transfer RNA is filed under the name Pseudomonadota bacterium. RNAcentral describes it as "tRNA-Val". It matches the Rfam family "tRNA". Rfam says of the family: Transfer RNA (tRNA) molecules are approximately 80 nucleotides in length. RNAcentral also lists the same sequence under 4 other names. The record is from RNAcentral. Lineage: Bacteria; Pseudomonadati; Pseudomonadota.
GGGCGGUUAGCUCAGAUGGUUAGAGCGCGUCGUUCACACCGACGAGGUCGGAGGUUCGAGUCCUCCACCGCCCACCA